CGCAUCUGUGCACGCAGCAUAUCAAUAAGCGGAGGAAAAGAGACUAACAAGGAUUCCCCUAGUAACGGCGAGUGAAGCGGGAAGAGCUCAAAUUUGAAAUCUUAAAGGGUUUCCCUUUACGAAUUGUAGUUUAAAGAGGUGUUUUCUGUUGAGGUUUUGGUAAAAGUUCUUUGGAAUAGGACAUCAUAGAGGGUGAGAAUCCCGUAUUUGACCUUUACUUUCAACUUUGUGAUACACUUUCAAAGAGUCGGAUUGUUUGGGAAUGCAGUCCAAAAUGGGUGGUAAAUUUCAUCUAAAGCUAAAUAUUGGCGAGAGACCGAUAGCGAACAAGUACCGUGAGGGAAAGAUGAAAAGAACUUUGAAAGGAGAGUUAAACAGUACGUGAAAUUGUCAAAAGGGAAGCGUUUGACACCAGUGUUGUUUUUCUGAAAAUCAAUUAAAGAACUGUUUAUGCUAAGUUGUUUAGACUUUAUCAGCUAUCUGUUUAGUUUUGAGCUUUUCUUUAAUGCACUUUUCAGUUAACAAGUCAACAUCAAUUUCUUUUGCUGUAAAAAAGCUUGAGGAAGGUGGCUUGAGAUUCGUCUUAAGUGUUUAUAGCCUCUUGCCUAUGCAGUCGGAGAGAUUGAGGUCUGCAGCGUAGAUCCUUCGGGGCUAAAUGCAUUUGUGCUAAGUUAUAGCAUUUUAUAGACAACUUGUUGACUAUGAUUUGUCUUGUAGCUUACUCGCUUAUGUUAUUUUACCUACGCUUAGGAUGUUGAAUCUGUGCGAGACUAC
RNAcentral lists this ribosomal RNA (774 nucleotides) under uncultured Neocallimastigales. RNAcentral describes it as "partial large subunit ribosomal RNA". It matches the Rfam family "Eukaryotic large subunit ribosomal RNA", at positions 23 to 644 of the family's 3401-position model. Lineage: Eukaryota; Fungi; Neocallimastigomycota; Neocallimastigomycetes; Neocallimastigales. The record is from RNAcentral.